RNAcentral lists this ribosomal RNA (517 nucleotides) under uncultured fungus. RNAcentral describes it as "eukaryotic LSU rRNA". The stretch from base 207 to 360 matches the Rfam family "5.8S ribosomal RNA". The record is from RNAcentral. Lineage: Eukaryota; Fungi.
GAAGUAAAAGUCGUAACAAGGUCUCCGUUGGUGAACCAGCGGAGGGAUCAUUACUGGACUCGCAAGACUCCUAUAACCCCUGUGAAUUUACUACAAAGCACGUUGCUUCGGCGGGUGCUCCGGGUCGCCCCGGGGCGCUGCGCCCGCCGGCAGCCUACCAUUCUGUCUCUUUGCGUUGGCAUCUCGAGCAAACACAAAUAAGUUAAAACUUUCAACAACGGAUCUCUUGGUUCUGGCAUCGAUGAAGAACGCAGCGAAAUGCGAUAAGUAAUGCGAAUUGCAGAAUUCCGUGAGUCAUCGAAUCUUUGAACGCACAUUGCGCCCGCCAGCAUUCUGGCGGGCAUGCCUGUUCGAGCGUCAUUGCAACCCUCAGGCCCGGCCUGGCGUUGGAGGACUGCGCAGCAGCCUCCCAAAGCAAGCGGCGGCGGCGCCCCAGAACCGAACGCAGUAGUUUUCUCUCGUUCUGGACCCUGGGACGUUGUCCGGCCGGAAAACCCCAACUCUUUUUAGUGGUGAC